GAUGAACGCUAGCUACAGGCUUAACACAUGCAAGUCGCGGGGCAGCAUGGGGGUUGCUUGCAAUCCCCGAUGGCGACCGGCGCACGGGUGAGUAACGCGUAUCCAACCUGCCCUUCACCACGGGAUAACCCGGCGAAAGUCGGACUAAUACCGUAUGUUGUCCAUUGACGGCAUCCGAUUUGGACGAAAGGUUUGGCGGUGAAGGAUGGGGAUGCGUCCGAUUAGCUGGACGGCGGGGUGACGGCCCACCGUGGCGACGAUCGGUAGGGGUUCUGAGAGGAAGGUCCCCCACACUGGAACUGAGACACGGUCCAGACUCCUACGGGAGGCAGCAGUGAGGAAUAUUGGUCAAUGGGCGUAAGCCUGAACCAGCCAAGUAGCGUGCAGGAGGACGGCCCUAUGGGUGGUAAACUGCUUUUAUGCGGGGAUAAAGUGGCCCACGUGUGGGUUUUUGCAGGUACCGCAUGAAUAAGGACCGGCUAAUUCCGUG
RNAcentral lists this ribosomal RNA (490 nucleotides) under uncultured bacterium. RNAcentral's name for it is "partial 16S ribosomal RNA". It matches the Rfam family "Bacterial small subunit ribosomal RNA", at positions 28 to 507 of the family's 1533-position model. The record is from RNAcentral.